CUAUAUGAGAGCUUUUGCAUCCCUAUUAGCUAGUUGGUGGGGUAAAAGCCCUACCCAAGGCGAUGAUAGGUAGCCGGCCUGAGAGGGUGGACGGCCACAAGGGGACUGAGAUACGGCCCUUACUCCUACGGGGAGGCAGCAGUGGGAAUAUUGGACAAUGGAGGCAACUCUGAUCCAGCAAUUCUGUGUGUGUGAAGAAGGUUUUAGGACUGUAAAACACUUUUAGUAGGGAAGAAAGAAAUUGACGGUACCUACAGAAGAAGCGACGGCUAAAUACGUGCCAGCAGCCGCGGUAAU
Molecule: ribosomal RNA, 297 nt
Filed under: uncultured Sneathia sp.
Lineage: Bacteria; Fusobacteriati; Fusobacteriota; Fusobacteriia; Fusobacteriales; Leptotrichiaceae
Description: partial 16S ribosomal RNA
Rfam family: Bacterial small subunit ribosomal RNA
Source: RNAcentral